CAGCCAGUACAUAGCACUUGAUCCGAUUGACAUCAUCCAUCCAUUUAUCCAGUGCAGCUCUCUGUUCAGCAUUAGGAUGACUUGGCAAAGGAGGGGGGUCUUGGUCAAGAACAUACCAUAAAUUUUUCGAUAUCAAAACUAUCUUAAAAUUUCUGAGCCAGUCCUUGAAAUUGGUUUUGAUCAAUCGAUUGGACUCUAGGAUACAGGCUAAAGGAUUUGAAGCUGAUAUAGUUAAACUGCGAAGAGUAA
Molecule: long non-coding RNA, 249 nt
Filed under: Elaeis guineensis (African oil palm)
Lineage: Eukaryota; Viridiplantae; Streptophyta; Magnoliopsida; Arecales; Arecaceae
Description: long non-coding RNA (EGUI_LNC046560)
Source: RNAcentral